This 253-nucleotide ribosomal RNA is filed under the name uncultured bacterium. RNAcentral describes it as "partial 16S ribosomal RNA". It matches the Rfam family "Bacterial small subunit ribosomal RNA", at positions 524 to 776 of the family's 1533-position model. The record is from RNAcentral.
UACGUAGGGUGCAAGCGUUGUCCGGAAUUAUUGGGCGUAAAGAGCUCGUAGGCGGUCUGUCGCGUCUGCUGUGAAAACUCGGGGCUUAACCCCGGGCCUGCAGUGGGUACGGGCAGACUAGAGUGCGGUAGGGGAGACUGGAAUUCCUGGUGUAGCGGUGAAAUGCGCGGAUAUCAGGAGGAACACCGGUGGCGAAGGCGGGUCUCUGGGCCGUAACUGACGCUGAGGAGCGAAAGCGUGGGGAGCGAACAGG